UUGCCCUAGUAACGGCGAGUGAAGCGGCAACAGCUCAAAUUUGAAAUCUGGCGUCUUUGGCGUCCGAGUUGUAAUUUGCAGAGGGCGCUUUGGCAUUGGCAGCGGUCCAAGUUCCUUGGAACAGGACGUCACAGAGGGUGAGAAUCCCGUACGUGGUCGCUAGCCUUUACCGUGUAAAGCCCCUUCGACGAGUCGAGUUGUUUGGGAAUGCAGCUCUAAAUGGGAGGUAAAUUUCUUCUAAAGCUAAAUACUGGCCAGAGACCGAUAGCGCACAAGUAGAGUGAUCGAAAGAUGAAAAGCACUUUGGAAAGAGAGUUAAAAAGCACGUGAAAUUGUUGAAAGGGAAGCGCUUGCAGCCAGACUUGCCUGUAGUUGCUCAUCCAGGUUUCUACCUGGUGCACUCUUCUAUAGGCAGGCCAGCAUCAGUUUGGGCGGUUGGAUAAAGGUCUCUGUCAUGUACCUCUCUUCGGGGAGAACUUAUAGGGGAGACGACAUGCAACCAGCCUGGACUGAGGUCCGCGCAUCUGCUAGGAUGCUGGCGUAAUGGCUGUAAGCGGCCCGUCUUGAAACACGGACCAAGGAGUCUAACAUCUAUGCGAGUGUUUGGGUGUCAAGCCCGAGCGCGUAAUGAAAGUGAACGGAGGUGGGAACCUUUCGGGGUGCACCAUCGACCGAUCCUGAUGUCUUCGGAUGGAUUUGAGUAAGAGCAUAGCUGUUGGGACCCGAAAGAUGGUGAACUAUGCUUGAAUAGGGUGAAGCCAGAGGAAACUCUGGUGGAGGCUCGCAGCGGUUCUGACGUGCAAAUCGAUCGUCAAAUUUGGGCAUAGGGGCGAAAGACUAAUCGAA
Molecule: ribosomal RNA, 846 nt
Filed under: Didymella bellidis
Lineage: Eukaryota; Fungi; Ascomycota; Dothideomycetes; Pleosporales; Didymellaceae
Description: partial large subunit ribosomal RNA
Rfam family: Eukaryotic large subunit ribosomal RNA
Source: RNAcentral